Triticum aestivum (bread wheat) is the source of this 125-nucleotide non-coding RNA. Lineage: Eukaryota; Viridiplantae; Streptophyta; Magnoliopsida; Poales; Poaceae. The record is from Rfam.
AUAAUACUCCCUCUGUCCGGAAAUACUCGUCGGAGAAAUGAAUGUAUCUAGAUGUAUUUUAGUUUUAGAUAUAUUCAUUUUUAUGCAUUUUUUCGACAAGUAUUUCCGGACGGAGGGAGUACAAA